CGGGGUGCACCAGGCGCGAAAACUUUGCAAUACACGAAAGUGUGACAGGGUCAUCCCGAGUGCCGACCGCUGAGGUUGGCUUUUACCCAGUCUAGAAAGCUGGGGGAAUAAGGAGAGGGCAAGUCUGGUGUCAGCCGCCGCGGUAAUACCAGCUCUCCGAGUGGUGUGGACGUUUAUUGGGCCUAAAGCAUCCGUAGCUGGCUGAACAAGUCCCCUGUUAAACCCACCGAUUUAAUCGUUGGUCUGCGGGGGAUACUGCUCGGCUAGGGGACGAGAGAGGCAGGCGGUAUUCUCGGGGUAGGGGUGAAAUCCUAUAAUCCCGGGAAGACCACCAGUGGCGAAGGCUGCCUGCUAGAGCGCGCCCGACGGUGAGGGAUGAAAGCUGGGGGAGCGAACCGGAUUAGAUACCCGGGUAGUCCCAGCUGUAAACGAUGCAGACUAGGUGUUUGGACGGCCACGUGCCGUUCUAGUGCCGCAGGGAAGCUGUUAAGUCUGCCGCCUGGGGAGUACGAUCGCAAGAUUGAAACUUAAAGGAAUUGGCGGGGGAGCACAAGGGCGAAUCGC
This 564-nucleotide ribosomal RNA is filed under the name uncultured archaeon. RNAcentral's name for it is "bacterial SSU rRNA". It matches the Rfam family "Archaeal small subunit ribosomal RNA", at positions 326 to 896 of the family's 1478-position model. The record is from RNAcentral.